AUGUCCCUGGGUGUCCCUCGGUGUCCCUGGGUGUCCCUGGGUGUCUCCGGGUGUCCCUGGGUGUCCCUGGCUGUCCCUGGAUGUCCCUGGGUGUCCCUGGGUGUCCCUGGGUGUCCCUCGGUGUCCCUGGGUGUCCCUUGGAUGUCCCUGGGUGUCCCUGGGUGUCCCUGGGUGUCCCUCGGUGUCCCUCGGUGUCCCUUGGUGUCCCUGGGUGUCCCUGGAUGUCCCCGGGUGUCCCUGGGUGUCCCUCGGUGUCCCUGGAUGUCCCUGGGUGUCCCUGGGUGUCCCUGGGUGUCCCUCGAUGUCCCUCGGUGUCCCUCAAUGUCCCUGGGUGUCCCUGGGUGUCCCUCGGUGUCCCUGGGUGUCCCUCGGUGUCCCUGGGUGUCCCUGGGUGUCCCUGGGUGUCCCUGGGUGUCCCUGGAUGUCCCUGGGUGUCCCUGGGCGUCCCUCGAUGUCCCUCGGUGUCCCUCGGUGUCCCUGGAUGUCCCUGGGUGUCCCUGGGUGUCCCUGGGUGUCCCUGGAUGUCCCUCGGUGUCCCUCGAUGUCCCUGGAUGUCCCUGGGUGUCCCUGGGUGUCCCUCGAUGUCCCUCGGUGUCCCUCGGUGUCCCUGGGUGUCCCUGGGUGUCCCUGGGUGUCCCUGGGUGUCCCUCGGUGUCCCUCGGUGUCCCUGGGUGUCCCUGGGUGUCCCUGGGUGUCCCUGGGUGUCCCUCGGUGUCCCUGGGUGUCCCUGGGUGUCCCUGGCUGUCCCUGGAUGUCCCUCGGUGUCCCUGGGUGUCCCUCGGUGUCCCUGGAUUUGGGGUCAUUCCCACCUGGAAUGGGGCUGGGAAUGAGGGAAAAGUGGGGGGAGAAAAAGAAAAAUCACCCCAUAAAUUGAAUAUUUUUGUCCCCCAUUCCCUAAAAAUCAUCCCCGGGCGGGAUUUGGGGUCGUUCCCACCUGGAAUUCCCAGGGAAUUCCCAAACCGUGUUGGGGUUUUUCGGGACGCGGUGGGGGAGGUGUCCCCACGGGGAGGGGACACGCCCGAGUGUCACCCGCGGGUUGUGCAAAGGACGCGGCUUCCGGGGGUGGAGAGAACAAAAAACCCCAAAGAGCCCCAGAAACACCCGAGAACCCUCAAGAACCCAAAAAAACCCCCAAAACAAAACAAAACAAAACCCCCCAAAAAUGCCCCAAAACCCCCAAAAAACAAAACAAAACAAAACCCAAAAAAACCCCCCAAAAAACCCCAAAAGAACCCAACCAAAACCCCAAAUUACACCAAAAAAACUCAAAAAAAAACCCCAAACUCCAAAAAAAUUCCCCGAAGAACCCCCAAAAAAUCCCAAAGAACCCCCAAAAAAAUCCCAAAGAACACCCAAAAAAUCCCAAAGAACAACAAAAAACCACGAAGAACCCCCAAAAAACCCACAAAGAACCCAAAAACCCUCAAAAUGCCCCAAAUAACCAAAAACAAACAGGAAAACAAAACCCAAAACUGA
RNAcentral lists this long non-coding RNA (1476 nucleotides) under Taeniopygia guttata (zebra finch). Its description in RNAcentral is "lncRNA (ENSTGUG00000027306.1)". Lineage: Eukaryota; Metazoa; Chordata; Aves; Passeriformes; Estrildidae. The record is from RNAcentral.